Molecule: ribosomal RNA, 468 nt
Filed under: uncultured bacterium
Lineage: Bacteria
Description: partial 16S ribosomal RNA
Rfam family: Bacterial small subunit ribosomal RNA
Source: RNAcentral
GACGAACGCUGGCGGCGUGCUUAACACAUGCAAGUCGAACGGAAAGGCCAUGAUUUUGUGGGGUGCUCGAGUGGCGAACGGGUGAGUAACACGUGAGUAAAAUGCCCUUGAAAUUGGGAUAACAUCAGGAAAAUGGGGAUAAUACCGGAUAGGAGCUACUGCUGCAUGGGGGGGGAUGGAAAGUUUCGGCGGUUGGGGCUGGACUCGCGGCUUAUCAGCUGGAUGGUGGGGUAGUGGAUUACCAGGGCUUCGACGGGUAGCCGGCCUGAGAGGGUGACCGGCCUCAAUGGGACUGAGGGACGGCCCAGACUCCUACGGGAGGCAGCAGUGGGGAAUAUUGCACAAUGGGCGGAAGCCUGAUGCAGCAACGCCGCGUUCGGAAUGACGGCCUUCGGGGUGUAAACCGCUUUCGCCGGUGACGAAGCGGGAGUGACGGUAAUGGGUAAAGAAGCACCGGCUAACUACGUG